GACGAACGCUGGCGGCGUGCUUAACACAUGCAAGUCGAACGGACAGACAGAGAGCUUGCUCUCUUGAAGUUAGUGGCGAACGGGUGAGUAACGCGUAAUCAACCUGCCCUUCAGAGGGGGAUAACAACGGGAAACCGUUGCUAAUACCGCGUACGAUUCAUGAACAGCAUCGUUUAUGAAUGAAAGGUGGCCUCUAUGUAUAAGCUAUCGCUGAAGGAGGGGAUUGCGUCUGAUUAGCUAGUUGGAGGGGUAACGGCCCACCAAGGCAAUGAUCAGUAGCCGGUCUGAGAGGAUGAACGGCCACAUUGGGACUGAGACACGGCCCAAACUCCUAUGGGAGGCAGCAGUGGGGAAUCUUCCGCAACGGACGAAAGUCUGACGGAGCAACGCCGCGUGAGUGAUGAAGGUCUUCGGAUUGAAAAGCUCUGUUAAUCGGGACGAAAGAGUUCUGCGUGAAUAAUGCAGAAAAGUGACGGUACCGGAAUAGAAAGCCACGGCUAACUACGUGCCAGCCGCCGCCGUAA
Molecule: ribosomal RNA, 524 nt
Filed under: uncultured bacterium
Lineage: Bacteria
Description: partial 16S ribosomal RNA
Rfam family: Bacterial small subunit ribosomal RNA
Source: RNAcentral